RNAcentral lists this ribosomal RNA (682 nucleotides) under Scolecitrichidae sp. 2012JH110. Its description in RNAcentral is "eukaryotic LSU rRNA". It matches the Rfam family "Eukaryotic large subunit ribosomal RNA", at positions 1 to 623 of the family's 3401-position model. Lineage: Eukaryota; Metazoa; Arthropoda; Copepoda; Calanoida; Scolecitrichidae. The record is from RNAcentral.
UCGACCUGAGAUUAGAUAAGAUUACCCGCCGAAUUUAAGCAUAUUAAUAAGCGGAGGAAAAGAAAACAACUGUGAUUCCCUUAGUAAUGGCGAAUGAAACGGGAACAGCCCAUCGCGUAACUGCAGGUCAUCUUGGCCUUGUGGAAUGUCGCGUUUGGGAGAGUCUCAUCGGGAGCUGGACGGCCAGUCAAAGUCCAACUUGACAGUGGCCACUGCCCAUAGAGGGUGAUAGGCCUGUAAGGCGGCCGUCUGCUUCUGCCGACUUUUCCCCUGAGUCGGGUUGCUUGGGAGUGCAGCCCAAAGUGUGAGGUAAACUCCUCAUAAGGCUAAAUAUGACCUCGAGACCGAUAGCAAACAAGUACCGUGAGGGAAGAUUGAAAAGAACUUUGAAGAGAGAGUUCAAUAGUACGUGAAACUGUGUGGUGGUAAACAGAGGGGUUCUCGAAGUCUCUGAGGGGAACUCAACCUUGGUGUCUGGCAGUCUGGGCGUAUCUGAUCAGCAAUGACUGUUCGCCUUGCCUGGCCUGACUCUCGGGUGCAUUUCCCCCUCAGUUUACGGCAGGAACUGUUUGGCACGGACCUGUGGCCACGGGUGAAGUUGUCGCUUAUGGUGGCAGCCCUGUGUGACCUGGCUCCGAGCCGGACAGGUAUUUUGAGAGGACUCGUAUAGCGAGCAAUGCUC